RNAcentral lists this long non-coding RNA (2004 nucleotides) under Capsicum annuum. RNAcentral's name for it is "long non-coding RNA (CANN_LNC003289)". The record is from RNAcentral. Lineage: Eukaryota; Viridiplantae; Streptophyta; Magnoliopsida; Solanales; Solanaceae.
GCACGUGGUAUCUAUCUCCCAUGAAGCUACACUUCUCUUCAUAACCAUAUCCACUACACCUUUGCGUCUGAUAAGAUCUGCACCUUUAUGCAUCCAUUUUCUUGAGCUUUUUCCAAUGCAGUCCGUAUUGCAAGCACUUCUGCAAUGAUGGUCUUCCCAACAAAUUGAAUUGGGGAGCCAAGGGCUUGAAGCAAAUUUCCAGAGCUAUCCAUAGCUGUCAUUCCAAUGUUUGCCAUAAUCUUCUCCUUUUGUAAGCUAGCAUCUGCAAACAUAAUCACAAAAUCUUGUGCUACAAUAAUUGCAUUAUUAGUAUUUAGUAGUAUGGUCAAGACCCAAUGUGAGAGAAGGCAUAGCAAGUGAAUUACUUUCAUAUUCCUUAAUCACUAUGACUUCAUUAUGUAAGUUCAGAGAACUUUGUCUUAUUCAAAAUAAGUUGUGUACUACCUAAAUUAUAAGGGAAAAUGACACUCACUCGCCAUUUUUAAAAAGAAAAAUUUCAGAAAUAGCAACUGCAUAGCCUUAAUUAUAACUUUUAUAGCAACAGUUUCAAAAUUACGAAAAGAAGCAAUAUGUAUUUUGUAUUUUAGUAAAAGGUUGUUGUAAAAAUACAUAUACAAAGAGGGUAAACGUUUCUUAUUUAACUCUAAUUAGUUAGAGUUAAAUAAAGGAUAAAAUUGUUCCUUAUUUUAUGCAACAUUUAAUUAACAGAUUCCUUUACCUUUUAUGACUCUUUUAAUUUUAUCUUAACCGUUAAUUUACAUAUUCAAAUUCAAAAAUCGUUUUCCAUAUUCAUCACGUAAAAGCAGAUUAAAAAAAACUGAGUGAUUGAAAUAUCGUUGAUGAACGUCUGUAUUUUACGAAGAAUAAUUGAAUAAACAACGCGACAAUUACAGGUAUGGAUAAACAAACUUUGAGAUCAUAUUUAUGCAAUUGCAAAAAUUUCUAGAAAAUUAAUAACAAGAUGGGUUAACGUUCAUGAAGUUGAAACUUUUAGAUCGUAUUUUAAAUUUUAUAAGUUCUGGGUUAAAAUUUCGUUUUUGACAUUUUUUUUCAAAUUCAAAGUUUUCCUUGUCGUUAUUAUUUAUAAAACUAAAUUACAAUUCUUAUACGUUAAAUUUGAAAUUUAGUCGAUGAUACAUAUUAUUCGACUAAAACAUUAGUUUUCGUUGGAAUUUGUUUUUUUGUUGUGUAUAUACAAAUUAUUAAUUGUAUGUCGUACAUAUUAUAUAAUUGAAUUUGUAUUUAAUGUUUUGUAGUGUUCUGGACAUUGAUGAUGGGAAGCAUACUUGUUCUCAUUAAACACACUGGUAAUAUGAACAACAUUGAACAACAAUAUGAAGAUUACAUCAGUGAUGCGAUGUUGUUGAGCAUAAACGCUUCGUAUAACCAACUCUACGCACUACUAGCUUUGCACAUUGAUAUAGAUUUGAAAUGCAAAAACAUUCAGAUUGAAUAUCAAUUAACAGAUAUUGAAGGUAAAAUACGUAUACGUAAUGACAUGGGUUUGAAGGUCUGUAUUAUGCAGAAAAGGGAGAUAAAGGAAAUGGGUAUCUUGCCUUUGUAUGUAAGUGUUUCAUAAAAGGAUAGUUUCACACAUUUGUUAGUUCAUCAAUAUUUAAUGCUGAGAGUAUGAAUUUGUCUAUCACUACGUGUAACGUGAUAAAUACAAGUACUGAAAGAGCAUUGAUAGUUUCUACUUCAAAUGAAUGUUUGAGUGUAAUUGAGAUGGAUACAAUUAAAGUAAUUAUCUCGGACCCACAUCACAAACAUAUUGAGCUUGAACAAGUCUAUGUCUCGAAAAGUGUGUUAAAUCUGUGAUGAAAGAUUACACGAUUCGGGAAAAGUUUCAAUCACAAUCUGUUAGAUCAAAUAAAAGCUGAUAAGUUUGUCAUGUAUUUAAAUUUUUUUGUUUCCAUGUUGGUAAAUUGUAUUGCAGCAUAUGUAUUUACAAUAUACAUAUGUAUUAAAUUUUUCUUUUUUCCAUGUUGGUAAAUUAUAUUUCAG